UACGUAGGUGGCGAGCGUUGUCCGGAUUUACUGGGCGUAAAGAGAGCGUAGGCGGACUUUUAAGUGAGAUGUGAAAUACUCGGGCUCAACUUGAGUGCUGCAUUUCAAACUGGAAGUCCAGAGUGCAGGAGAGGAGAAUGGAAUUCCUAGUGUAGCGGUGAAAUGCGUAGAGAUUAGGAAGAACACCAGUGGCGAAGGCGAUUCUCUGGACUGUAACUGACGCUGAGGCUCGAAAGCGUGGGGAGCAAACAGG
This 253-nucleotide ribosomal RNA is filed under the name uncultured bacterium. Its description in RNAcentral is "partial 16S ribosomal RNA". It matches the Rfam family "Bacterial small subunit ribosomal RNA", at positions 524 to 776 of the family's 1533-position model. The record is from RNAcentral.